AGGUGGAUUAGUGGCGCACGGGUGAGUAACGCAUAGAUAACAUACCCUUUAGUCUGGGAUAGCCACUGGAAACGGUGAUUAAUACUAGAUACUCCCUACGGGGGAAAGAAUUUCGCUAAAGGAUUGGUCUAUGUCCUAUCAGCUUGUUGGUGAGGUAAUGGCUCACCAAGGCUAUGACGGGUAUCCGGCCUGAGAGGGUGAACGGACACACUGGAACUGAGACACGGUCCAGACUCCUACGGGAGGCAGCAGUAGGGAAUAUUGCUCAAUGGGGGAAACCCUGAAGCAGCAACGCCGCGUGGAGGAUGAAGGUUUUAGGAUUGUAAACUCCUUUUGUUAGAGAAGAUU
This 348-nucleotide ribosomal RNA is filed under the name uncultured Helicobacter sp. RNAcentral's name for it is "bacterial SSU rRNA". It matches the Rfam family "Bacterial small subunit ribosomal RNA", at positions 85 to 450 of the family's 1533-position model. The record is from RNAcentral. Lineage: Bacteria; Pseudomonadati; Campylobacterota; Epsilonproteobacteria; Campylobacterales; Helicobacteraceae.